GACGAACGCUGGCGGCGUGCCUAAUACAUGCAAGUCGAGCGGACAGAAGGGAGCUUGCUCCCGGAUGUUAGCGGCGGACGGGUGAGUAACACGUGGGUAACCUGCCUGUAAGACUGGGAUAACUCCGGGAAACCGGAGCUAAUACCGGAUAGUUCCUUGAACCGCAUGGUUCAAGGAUGAAAGACGGUUUCGGCUGUCACUUACAGAUGGACCCGCGGCGCAUUAGCUAGUUGGUGAGGUAACGGCUCACCAAGGCGACGAUGCGUAGCCGACCUGAGAGGGUGAUCGGCCACACUGGGACUGAGACACGGCCCAGACUCCUACGGGAGGCAGCAGUAGGGAAUCUUCCGCAAUGGACGAAAGUCUGACGGAGCAACGCCGCGUGAGUGAUGAAGGUCUUCGGAUCGUAAAGCUCUGUUGUUAGGGAAGAACAAGUGCAAGAGUAACUGCUUGCACCUUGACGGUACCUAACCAGAAAGCCACGGCUAACUACGUGCCAGCCGCCGCGGAAAUACGGAGGUGGCAAGCGUUGUCCGGAAUUAUUGGGGCGUAAAGGGCUCGCAGGCGGUUUCUUAAGUCUGAUGUGAAAGCCCCCGGCUCAACCGGGGAGGGUCAUUGGAAACUGGGAAACUUGAGUGCAGAAGAGGAGAGUGGAAUUCCACGUGUAGCGGUGAAAUGCGUAGAGAUGUGGAGGAACACCAGUGGCGAAGGCGACUCUCUGGUCUGUAACUGACGCUGAGGAGCGAAAGCGUGGGGAGCGAACAGGAUUAGAUACCCUGGUAGUCCACGCCGUAAACGAUGAGUGCUAAGUGUUAGGGGGUUUCCGCCCCUUAGUGCUGCAGCUAACGCAUUAAGCACUCCGCCUGGGGAGUACGGUCGCAAGACUGAAACUCAAAGGAAUUGACGGGGGCCCGCACAAGCGGUGGAGCAUGUGGUUUAAUUCGAAGCAACGCGAAGAACCUUACCAGGUCUUGACAUCCUCUGACAACCCUAGAGAUAGGGCUUUCCCUUCGGGGACAGAGUGACAGGUGGUGCAUGGUUGUCGUCAGCUCGUGUCGUGAGAUGUUGGGUUAAGUCCCGCAACGAGCGCAACCCUUGAUCUUAGUUGCCAGCAUUUCAGUUGGGCACUCUAAGGUGACUGCCGGUGACAAACCGGAGGAAGGUGGGGAUGACGUCAAAUCAUCAUGCCCCUUAUGACCUGGGCUACACACGUGCUACAAUGGACAGAACAAAGGGCUGCGAGACCGCAAGGUUUAGCCAAUCCCACAAAUCUGUUCUCAGUUCGGAUCGCAGUCUGCAACUCGACUGCGUGAAGCUGGAAUCGCUAGUAAUCGCGGAUCAGCAUGCCGCGGUGAAUACGUUCCCGGGCCUUGUACACACCGCCCGUCACACCACGAGAGUUUGCAACACCCGAAGUCGGUGAGGUAACCUUUAUGGAGCCAGCCGCCGAAGG
RNAcentral lists this ribosomal RNA (1453 nucleotides) under Bacillus pumilus. RNAcentral describes it as "16S ribosomal RNA". It matches the Rfam family "Bacterial small subunit ribosomal RNA". Lineage: Bacteria; Bacillati; Bacillota; Bacilli; Caryophanales; Bacillaceae. The record is from RNAcentral.